GUCUGUAUGAAGUUAUAUAGAGUCUAACCUGCCCAUUGAAAUUUAAAAGGCCGCGGUAUCCUAACUGUGCAAAGGUAGCAUAAUAAUUAGCUUUUUAAUUGAGAGCUUGUAUGAAAGGUUGGACAAAGAAAAAUCUGUCUUUAAUAUUUAUUUUGAAUUUUACAUUUAAGUGAAAAGGCUUAAAUGAAUUUAAGGGACGAUAAGACCCUAUAAAUCUUUACAUUUAUUUAUUUUUUAUUAGUUUAGAUUAUCAAUUAAUUAAAAUAUAAAUAUAUGUUUUAUUGGGGUGAUAAAGAUAUAAUUUAAAUAACUGUUUUUAAAAAUAAACAAAUAUAAUUGAUAAGUAUAAGAUCCUUUUUAAAGAUUAAAAGUUAAAGUUACUUUAGGGAUAACAGCGUAAUUUUUUUUGAGAGUUCAUAUCGAAAAAAAAGUUUGCGACCUCGAUGUUGAAUUAAAAAUUCUUUAUAAUGCAGAAGUUAUAAGGGAAAGUCUGUUCGACUUUUAAAUUUUU
Molecule: ribosomal RNA, 511 nt
Filed under: Munidopsis barbarae
Lineage: Eukaryota; Metazoa; Arthropoda; Malacostraca; Decapoda; Munidopsidae
Description: partial 16S large subunit ribosomal RNA
Rfam family: Bacterial large subunit ribosomal RNA
Source: RNAcentral